This 695-nucleotide ribosomal RNA is filed under the name Claravis pretiosa (blue ground-dove). Its description in RNAcentral is "partial 12S ribosomal RNA". It matches the Rfam family "Bacterial small subunit ribosomal RNA", at positions 521 to 1508 of the family's 1533-position model. Lineage: Eukaryota; Metazoa; Chordata; Aves; Columbiformes; Columbidae. The record is from RNAcentral.
UCACACAAGAAACCCAAAUUAAUCGUAUACGGCGUAAAGAGUGGACCCAUGAUUAUCAGAGCAAUUAAGGCCAAAAUGCAGCUAGGCUGUCAUAAGCUUAAGGUGCACCUAAAACCACCCUAAAAAUGACCUUAACAUAAGCGAUAAAUUAAACUCCACGAAAGCCAGGGCACAAACUGGGAUUAGAUACCCCACUAUGCCUGGCCCUAAAUCUUGAUGCCCACACUACCAAAGCAUCCGCCCGAGAACUACGAGCACAAACGCUUAAAACUCUAAGGACUUGGCGGUGCCCCAAACCCACCUAGAGGAGCCUGUUCUAUAAUCGACAACCCACGAUACACCCGACCACUUCUUGCCAAAAACAGCCUACAUACCGCCGUCGCCAGCCCACCUUAACUGAGAGAACAGUAGUGAGCUCAAUUGCCCUUACCCCGCCAAUAAGACAGGUCAAGGUAUAGCCCAUGAAGUGGGAGAAAUGGGCUACAUUUUCUAUAUUAGAAAACCCUACGGAAGGGGACAUGAAACCUUCCCCCGAAGGUGGAUUUAGCAGUAAAGCGGGACAAUAAAGCCCUCUUUAAAUUGGCUCUGAGGCACGUACAUACCGCCCGUCACCCUCCUCACAAGCCCAAAACCCCCAUAAAUAAUGCGCCCUCUCGCUAAAGAUGAGGCAAGUCGUAACAAGGUAAGUGUACCGG